CAGUAGCCGCGGGAAUACGUAGGUGGCAAGCGUUGUCCGGAAUUAUUGGGCGUAAAGGGCUCGCAGGCGGUUUCUUAAGUCUGAUGUGAAAGCCCCCGGCUCAACCGGGGAGGGUCAUUGGAAACUGGGAAACUUGAGUGCAGAAGAGGAGAGUGGAAUUCCACGUGUAGCGGUGAAAUGCGUAGAGAUGUGGAGGAACACCAGUGGCGAAGGCGACUCUCUGGUCUGUAACUGACGCUGAGGAGCGAAAGCUAGGGGAGCAAACAGGAUUAGAGACCCCGUAGUCCCUGUCUCUUAUACC
RNAcentral lists this ribosomal RNA (301 nucleotides) under uncultured bacterium. Its description in RNAcentral is "partial 16S ribosomal RNA". It matches the Rfam family "Bacterial small subunit ribosomal RNA", at positions 509 to 808 of the family's 1533-position model. The record is from RNAcentral.